CAAUAGCGUAUAUUAAAGUUGUUGUGGUUAAAAAGCUCGUAGUUGAACCUUGGGCCUGGCCGUCCGGUCCGCCUCACCGCGUGUACUGGCUCGGCCGGGCCUUUCCCUCUGUGGAACCCCAUGCCCUUCACUGGGCGUGGCGGGGAAACAGGACUUUUACUGUGAAAAAAUUAGAGUGCUCCAGGCAGGCCUAUGCUCGAAUACAUUAGCAUGGAAUAAUAGAAUAGGACGUGUGGUUCUAUUUUGUUGGUUUCUAGGACCGCCGUAAUGAUUAAUAGGGACAGUCGGGGGCAUCAGUAUCCAAUUGUCAGAGGUGAAAUUCUUGGAUUUAUUGAAGACUAACUACUGCGAAAGCAUUUGCCAAGGAUGUUUUCAUUAA
This 379-nucleotide ribosomal RNA is filed under the name uncultured eukaryote. Its description in RNAcentral is "partial 18S ribosomal RNA". It matches the Rfam family "Eukaryotic small subunit ribosomal RNA", at positions 592 to 976 of the family's 1831-position model. The record is from RNAcentral.